RNAcentral lists this ribosomal RNA (492 nucleotides) under uncultured bacterium. RNAcentral's name for it is "partial 16S ribosomal RNA". It matches the Rfam family "Bacterial small subunit ribosomal RNA", at positions 30 to 507 of the family's 1533-position model. The record is from RNAcentral.
AUUGAACGCUGGCGGCAUGCUUUACACAUGCAAGUCGUACGGUAACAGGCCUUCGGGUGCUGACGAGUGGCGAACGGGUGAGUAAUGCAUCAGAACGUACCCAAAGUUGGGUGAUAACGCAGCGAAAGCGGUGCUAAUACCGCAUGUGAUCUGAAGAUUAAAGCGGGGGACCGAGCAGCAAUGUUUGGCCUCGCGCCUUUGGAGCGGCCGAUGUCGGAUUAGCUAGGUGGUGGGGUAAAGGGCUACAAAGGCAACGAUCCGUAGCGGGUCUGAGAGGACGACAAGCCACACUAGGACUGAGACACGGCACAGACUCGUACCGGAGGCAGCGGUGGAGAAUUUUGGACAAUGGGCGCAAGCCUAAUCCAGCACUGCCGCGUGCGGGAAGAAGGCCUUCGGCUUGGAAAACGCUUUUGGCAGGAACGAAGAGGUGUCCGCUAAUAUCGGGCGCAAAUGACGGUACCUGAAGAAUAAGCACCGGCUAACUACGUG